CCUACGGGGGGCAGCAGUGAGGAAUAUUGGUCAAUGGGCGGGAGCCUGAACCAGCCAAGUCGCGUGAGGGAAGACGGUCCUAUGGAUUGUAAACCUCUUUAGUCGGGGAGCAAUGCCGGGCACGCGUGCCCGGAGGGAGAGUACCCGCAGAAUAAGCAUCGGCUAACUCCGUGCCAGCAGCCGCGGUAAUACGGAGGAUGCGAGCGUUAUCCGGAUUUAUUGGGUUUAAAGGGUGCGCAGGCGGAGGUGCAAGUUAGUAGCGUAAUUCCGGGGCUCAACUUCGGAACUACUACUAAAACUGCUGGGCUUGAGUGCAGGAGGGGCAGAUGGAAUUCCUAGUGUAGCGGUGGAAUGCGUAGAUAUUAGGAGGAACACCAGUGGCGAAGGCGAUAUGCUGGACUGUAACUGACACUGAGGCACGAAAGCGUGGGGAGCAAACAGGAUUAGAUACCCCUGUAGUC
Molecule: ribosomal RNA, 461 nt
Filed under: uncultured bacterium
Lineage: Bacteria
Description: partial 16S ribosomal RNA
Rfam family: Bacterial small subunit ribosomal RNA
Source: RNAcentral